This 774-nucleotide ribosomal RNA is filed under the name uncultured Neocallimastigales. RNAcentral describes it as "partial large subunit ribosomal RNA". It matches the Rfam family "Eukaryotic large subunit ribosomal RNA", at positions 26 to 614 of the family's 3401-position model. Lineage: Eukaryota; Fungi; Neocallimastigomycota; Neocallimastigomycetes; Neocallimastigales. The record is from RNAcentral.
CGCAUCUGUGCAUGCAGCAUAUCAAUAAGCGGAGGAAAAGAAACUAACAAGGAUUCCCCUAGUAACGGCGAGUGAAGCGGGAAGAGCUCAAAUUUGAAAUCUUAAAGGGUUUCCCUUUACGAAUUGUAGUUUAAAGAAGUGUUUUCUGUUGAGGUUUUGGUAAAAGUUCUUUGGAAUAGGACAUCAUAGAGGGUGAGAAUCCCGUAUUUGACCUUUACUUUCAACUUUGUGAUACACUUUCAAAGAGUCGGAUUGUUUGGGAAUGCAGUCCAAAAUGGGUGGUAAAUUUCAUCUAAAGCUAAAUAUUGGCGAGAGACCGAUAGCGAACAAGUACCGUGAGGGAAAGAUGAAAAGAACUUUGAAAAGAGAGUUAAACAGUACGUGAAAUUGUCAAAAGGGAAGCGUUUGACACCAGUGUUGUUUUUCUGAAAAUCAAUUAAAGAACUGUUUAUGCUAAGUUGUUUAGACUUUAUCAGCUAACUGUUUAGUUUUGAGCUUUUCUUUAAUGCACUUUUCAGUUAACAAGUCAACAUCAGUUUCUUUUGCUGUAAAAAAGCUUGAGGAAGGUGGCUUGAGAUUCGUCUUAAGUGUUUAUAGCCUCUUGCCUAUGCAGUCGGAGAGAUUGAGGUCUGCAGCGUAGAUCCUUCGGGGCUAAAUGCAUUUGUGCUAAGUUAUAGCAUUUUAUAGACAACUUGUUGACUAUGAUUUGUCUUGUAGCUUACUCGCUUAUGUUAUUUUACCUACGCUUAGGAUGUUGAACGCGCACAGAGUCUC